This 296-nucleotide ribosomal RNA is filed under the name uncultured Eubacteriales bacterium. Its description in RNAcentral is "uncultured Clostridiales bacterium partial 16S ribosomal RNA". The stretch from base 56 to 296 matches the Rfam family "Bacterial small subunit ribosomal RNA", at positions 100 to 339 of the family's 1533-position model. The record is from RNAcentral. Lineage: Bacteria; Bacillati; Bacillota; Clostridia; Eubacteriales.
AACGAAGCACUUUAUUUGAUUUCCUUCGGGACUGAUUAUUUUGUGACUGAGUGGCGGACGGGUGAGUAACGCGUGGGUAACCUGCCUUGUACAGGGGGAUAACAGUUGGAAACGACUGCUAAUACCGCAUAAGCCCACGGUACCGCAUGGUACUGAGGGAAAAGGAUUUAUUCGCUUUAGGAUGGACUCGCGUCCAAUUAGCUAGUUGGUGAGGUAACGGCCCACCAAGCCGACGAUCGGUAGCCGACCUGAGAGGGUGAACGGCCACAUUGGGACUGAGACACGGCCCAAACUCC